RNAcentral lists this ribosomal RNA (497 nucleotides) under uncultured bacterium. RNAcentral's name for it is "partial 16S ribosomal RNA". It matches the Rfam family "Bacterial small subunit ribosomal RNA", at positions 28 to 507 of the family's 1533-position model. The record is from RNAcentral.
GACGAACGCUGGCGGCGUGCCUAAUACAUGCAAGUUGAGCGCUGAAGGUUGGUACUUGUACCAACUGGAUGAGCAGCGAACGGGUGAGUAACGCGUGGGGAAUCUGCCUUUGAGCGGGGGACAACAUUUGGAAACGAAUGCUAAUACCGCAUAAAAACUUUAAACACAAGUUUUAAGUUUGAAAGAUGCAAUUGCAUCACUCAAAGAUGAUCCCGCGUUGUAUUAGCUAGUUGGUGAGGUAAAGGCUCACCAAGGCGAUGAUACAUAGCCGACCUGAGAGGGUGAUCGGCCAAAUUGGGAAUGAGACACGGCCCAAACUCCUACGGGAGGCAGCAGUAGGGAAUCUUCGGCAAUGGACGAAAGUCUGACCGAGCAACGCCGCGGGAGUGAAGAAGGGUGUCGGAUCGUAAAACUCUGUUGGUAGAGAAGAACGUUGGUGAGAGUGGAAAGCUCAUCAAGUGACGGUAACUACACAGAAAGGGACGGCUAACUACGUG